UCGCGAAGAGAACCGGAACACAGGUGCUGCAUGGCUGUCGUCAGCUCGUGUCGUGAGAUGUUGGGUUAAGUCCCGCAACGAGCGCAACCCUUGCCUUUAGUUGCCAGCAGUUCGGCUGGGCACUCUAAAGGGACUGCCGGUGUCGAAACCGGAGGAAGGUGGGGAUGACGUCAAGUCCUCAUGGCCUUUAUGGCCAGGGCUACACACGUACUACAAUGGCCGGUACAAAGGGCAGCGACAUUGCGAGAUGGAGCGAAUCCCGAAAAGCCGGUCUCAGUCCGGAUUGGAGUCUGCAACUCGACUCCAUGAAGUUGGAAUCGCUAGUAAUCGUGGAUCAGCAUGCCACGGUCGAAUACGUUCCCGGGCCUU
Molecule: ribosomal RNA, 369 nt
Filed under: uncultured Desulfobulbus sp.
Lineage: Bacteria; Pseudomonadati; Thermodesulfobacteriota; Desulfobulbia; Desulfobulbales; Desulfobulbaceae
Description: bacterial SSU rRNA
Rfam family: Bacterial small subunit ribosomal RNA
Source: RNAcentral